GCUGGCGGCGUGCCUAAUACAUGCAAGUCGAGCGGACAGAUGGGAGCUUGCUCCCUGAUGUUAGCGGCGGACGGGUGAGUAACACGUGGGUAACCUGCCUGUAAGACUGGGAUAACUCCGGGAAACCGGGGCUAAUACCGGAUGGUUGUUUGAACCGCAUGGUUCAAACAUAAAAGGUGGCUUCGGCUACCACUUACAGAUGGACCCGCGGCGCAUUAGCUAGUUGGUGAGGUAACGGCUCACCAAGGCAACGAUGCGUAGCCGACCUGAGAGGGUGAUCGGCCACACUGGGACUGAGACACGGCCCAGACUCCUACGGGAGGCAGCAGUAGGGAAUCUUCCGCAAUGGACGAAAGUCUGACGGAGCAACGCCGCGUGAGUGAUGAAGGUUUUCGGAUCGUAAAGCUCUGUUGUUAGGGAAGAACAAGUACCGUUCGAAUAGGGCGGUACCUUGACGGUACCUAACCAGAAAGCCACGGCUAACUACGUGCCAGCAGCCGCGGUAAUACGUAGGUGGCAAGCGUUGUCCGGAAUUAUUGGGCGUAAAGGGCUCGCAGGCGGUUUCUUAAGUCUGAUGUGAAAGCCCCCGGCUCAACCGGGGAGGGUCAUUGGAAACUGGGGAACUUGAGUGCAGAAGAGGAGAGUGGAAUUCCACGUGUAGCGGUGAAAUGCGUAGAGAUGUGGAGGAACACCAGUGGCGAAGGCGACUCUCUGGUCUGUAACUGACGCUGAGGAGCGAAAGCGUGGGGA
This 750-nucleotide ribosomal RNA is filed under the name Bacillus sp. YIM 90710. RNAcentral's name for it is "bacterial SSU rRNA". It matches the Rfam family "Bacterial small subunit ribosomal RNA", at positions 35 to 767 of the family's 1533-position model. The record is from RNAcentral. RNAcentral also lists the same sequence under 1 other name. Lineage: Bacteria; Bacillati; Bacillota; Bacilli; Caryophanales; Bacillaceae.